Molecule: ribosomal RNA, 431 nt
Filed under: Chlorolestes fasciatus
Lineage: Eukaryota; Metazoa; Arthropoda; Insecta; Odonata; Synlestidae
Also listed under: 3 other names
Description: partial large subunit ribosomal RNA
Source: RNAcentral
CUUUGAAGAGAGAGUUCAAGAGUACGUGAANNACCGUNCGGGGAGUAAACGGGUGGUACCCGAAAUUUCGAAAGGGGAGAUUCAAGUCUCGCCGGCGUCGGGCGGUGGCCGCGACCAGGGAUGGUGUCUUCGCGGUCGGGGGGUAACCCUCGGCCCGUNGGGCGCCACCCCGCGACCGCCGCGUUUUCCGGCGUCGGUGUGACGCACUUCUCCCCGAGUAGGACGUCGCGACCCGUCGAGCGCCGGACUNNGAGGGCCCGGGUGGAGCCUGUGCCGCUCGUUCGNCGAGCGGCGCACGACCCCGGGAUCCCCGGCCGGGUGCCCGACGGUAUGAAGCGAGAAGUCGACGCGCCGNUUUNNNNNNNNNNNNNAUCGGCGUCCGGCCCUCCGCAAGCGCCCGCGGGAGUUCGGGUUCCGGACCCGGUCCGAUC